ACAGUUUCCGCAGCUGUAGAUGGAUGCUAUGGUAGUAUAACCUAAGGUUAUUGUUUCAGAAAGAAUCUACCUUGAUACAGAUGCUCUACACGCCAAGAA
This 99-nucleotide ribosomal RNA is filed under the name Eimeria cf. ictidea JRB-2016. RNAcentral describes it as "small subunit ribosomal RNA". Lineage: Eukaryota; Apicomplexa; Conoidasida; Eucoccidiorida; Eimeriidae. The record is from RNAcentral.